Molecule: transfer RNA, 67 nt
Filed under: Cordulia aenea (downy emerald)
Lineage: Eukaryota; Metazoa; Arthropoda; Insecta; Odonata; Corduliidae
Description: tRNA-Ser
Source: RNAcentral
AAGAUAUGUUGAUCAAAAAAAAGCUGCUAACUUUUAUUUUUAGCGGUUUAAUUCCGUUUAUAUCCUU